GAUGAACGCUAGCUACAGGCUUAACACAUGCAAGUCGAGGGGAAACGGCAUCGAAAGCUUGCUUUUGAUGGGCGUCGACCGGCGCACGGGUGAGUAACGCGUAUCCAACCUGCCCAUCACUUGGGAAUAACCUUGCGAAAGUAAGACUAAUGCCCAAUGACAUCCCACGAAGGCAUCCGAAUGGGAUUAAAGAUUUAUCGGUGAUGGAUGGGGAUGCGUCUGAUUAGCUUGUUGGCGGGGUGACGGCCCACCAAGGCAACGAUCAGUAGGGGUUCUGAGAGGAAGGUCCCCCACAUUGGAACUGAGACACGGUCCAAACUCCUACGGGAGGGAGCAGUGAGGAAUAUUGGUCAAUGGGCGAGAGCCUGAACCAGCCAAGUAGCGUGCAGGAUGACGGCCCUAUGGGUUGUAAACUGCUUUUAGAAGGGAAUAAAGUGGGUCACGUGUGACUUUUUGCAUGUACCUGAUGAAUAAGGACCGGCUAAUUCCGUG
Molecule: ribosomal RNA, 492 nt
Filed under: uncultured bacterium
Lineage: Bacteria
Description: partial 16S ribosomal RNA
Rfam family: Bacterial small subunit ribosomal RNA
Source: RNAcentral